AUGAAGCCGUACGCUCCAGCUUUCAUUCUCCUGUGGAGUGCUGUCGGCAUAGCGAGGGCUGCCAAAAUCGUUGUUGUGCCGCCAAUUAUGUUUGAAAGCCAUCUUUAUAUUUUCAAGACUCUGGCCUCAGCCUUGCAUGACCAAGGUCACCAGACAGUGUUUCUCCUCUCUGAGGGCAGAGAGAUUCCUCCGUCUAAUCACUAUAGACUUCAGCGCUACCCAGGGAUCUUUAACAGCAGCACCUCGGAUGAUUUUCUCCAGUCCAAGAUGAGGAGUAUCUUCUCGGGGAGACUGACAGCCCUUGAACUGUUCGAUAUCCUGGACCACUAUUCCAAGAACUGUGACAUGAUCGUUGGAAACCAAAACCUCAUGCGUGCCCUGAAACAGGAAAAAUUUGACCUGCUCCUGGUAGAUCCCAAUGAGAUGUGUGGAUUUGUUAUAGCUCAUCUUUUAGGGGUUAAAUAUGCUGUCUUUUCCACUGGCCUCUGGUAUCCAGCAGAAGUGGGUGCUCCAGCUCCACUGUCUUAUGUUCCAGAAUUCAACUCGCUGCUCACAGAUCACAUGAACCUAUUUGAGAGGAUUAAAAAUACUUUUGUUUAUCUUAUUUCAAGAUUUGGAGUCAGUUUUUUGGUUCUGCCAAAAUAUGAAAGGAUAAUGCAGAAACACAACGUUCUGCCGGAAAGGUCCAUGUAUGACUUGGUUCAUGGAUCCAGCCUGUGGAUGCUUUGUACUGAUGUAGCACUGGAGUUUCCGAGACCUACGCUACCCAACGUUGUGUAUGUGGGAGGCAUCCUAACCAAACCGGCCAGCCCUCUGCCAGAAGUAAGGUUUGCUGAGCUUUACAAUAACUUCUGUGGUAUCUGGUUGACCUCAUAUGAUGAUGAUGAGUAG
Non-coding RNA from Leptosomus discolor (cuckoo roller), 891 nucleotides. Lineage: Eukaryota; Metazoa; Chordata; Aves; Leptosomiformes; Leptosomidae. The record is from RefSeq and is a predicted model, not a curated record.